RNAcentral lists this ribosomal RNA (444 nucleotides) under uncultured soil bacterium. RNAcentral describes it as "bacterial SSU rRNA". It matches the Rfam family "Bacterial small subunit ribosomal RNA", at positions 26 to 502 of the family's 1533-position model. The record is from RNAcentral.
AGAACGAACGCUGGCGGCAUGCCUAAUACAUGCAAGUCGAACGAACUCUUCGGAGUUAGUGGCGCACGGGUGCGUAACGCGUGGGAAUCUGCCCCUUGGUUCGGAAUAACAGUUGGAAACGAUUGCUAAUACCGGAUGAUGACGAAAGUCCAAAGAUUUAUCGCCAAGGGAUGAGCCCGCGUAGGAUUAGCUAGUUGGUGAGGUAAAGGCUCACCAAGGCAACGAUCCUUAGCUGGUCUGAGAGGAUGAUCAGCCACACUGGGACUGAGACACGGCCCAGACUCCGUACGGGAGGCAGCAGGUAGGAAUAUUAGGACAAGUGGGACGAAAGCCUAGAUCCAGACAAUGCCGCGUGAGUGAGUGAAGGUCCGUUAGGUUGGUAAAGUCUUCGUUUACCCGAGAUGAUAAUGACAGUAGCGGGAGUAAUAACGACCCGGACUAACC